This is a long non-coding RNA of Bombus pascuorum, 298 nucleotides long. RefSeq lists it as uncharacterized. NCBI's taxonomy places the organism in Eukaryota, Metazoa, Arthropoda, Insecta, Hymenoptera, Apidae. The transcript has 2 exons. The record is from RefSeq and is a predicted model, not a curated record.
CGUAAUGCUGCGUUGCGCGUAACGCGUAAUACAAUAGACCGGGAUGCGUUGAUCGUAAGUCGAUGUUGUGUAAUCGACAAUCCGAUGUAGUCAUUUUGCGAUUCCCAUGCGAUGAUGCAUCUCGCUUUAAGCUUGUUACGCAACGAGUAUGACACGAAUUGCUUGUAUAAUUCGAUCGUAGCAUCGAGAUCCAAAUAUAAACAUUUUUAUCUACUGUCACGUAAUAUGUAUUAAUUAACAGAUUUAUUAUCCCUUUAUAACUGAAAUAAACGUUACUCUGAGAUUGAACCAAGUAACA